This 71-nucleotide transfer RNA is filed under the name Yasminevirus sp. GU-2018. RNAcentral's name for it is "partial tRNA-Glu(ttc)". Lineage: Varidnaviria; Bamfordvirae; Nucleocytoviricota; Megaviricetes; Imitervirales; Mimiviridae. The record is from RNAcentral.
UGUGCUGAUAGUUUAAUGAAAAUAUUGUCCCUUCAGGACAAAGAUGCCUGUUCGUAGCAGGUUCGGCACAA